UUAUCUGGACCCUUUCAAAUGCAGACAUCAUCUCCCCAGGCCAGAGGCUCUUGGAAAUCCUGGUUGAUGCAUUAAGUACUCUGUGGACUUGGCUUAGUUUAUGAGAUCAAAGGCCGAGUCUUCCAUGAGUGAGGAUUACUUCACCUGACAGAACUUGGAAAUCAGUCGAAAUCUCUUUGAUGUUUCCUUAAAUAUCUAAAUAGUGUAAUACCGUUUGGUCUGAAGCCUGAAGACUUCAGGUACCCAACAGACUCUACAACCUACUGCAGAGACACUUCCUGAUCCUGCUCUAUUCACAAUAACCAGAAAAUGAAAUCAGCCUAGAUGUCCAUGAACUGACGAAUGGAUAAUAAAAAUGUGAACCAUA
Meriones unguiculatus (Mongolian gerbil) is the source of this 367-nucleotide long non-coding RNA. RefSeq lists it as uncharacterized. The record is from RefSeq and is a predicted model, not a curated record. The transcript is spliced from 2 exons. NCBI's taxonomy places the organism in Eukaryota, Metazoa, Chordata, Mammalia, Rodentia, Muridae.